Molecule: ribosomal RNA, 482 nt
Filed under: uncultured bacterium
Lineage: Bacteria
Description: bacterial SSU rRNA
Rfam family: Bacterial small subunit ribosomal RNA
Source: RNAcentral
UUGAACGCUGGCGGCAUGCUUUACACAUGCAAGUCGAACGGCAGCACGGGGGCAACCCUGGUGGCGAGUGGCGAACGGGUGAGUAAUAUAUCGGAACAUGUCCGGAAGUGGGGGAUAACGUAGCGAAAGUUACGCUAAUACCGCAUAUGCCCUGAGGGGGAAAGGGGGGGAUCGCAAGACCUCUCGCUUUCGGAGUGGCCGAUAUCGGAUUAGCUAGUUGGUGAGGUAAAGGCUCACCAAGGCGACGAUCCGUAGCUGGUCUGAGAGGACGACCAGCCACACUGGGACUGAGACACGGCCCAGACUCCUACGGGAGGCAGCAGUGGGGAAUUUUGGACAAUGGGGGCAACCCUGAUCCAGCCAUGCCGCGUGAGUGAAGAAGGCCUUCGGGUUGUAAAGCUCCUUCGGCAGGAACGAAACGGUGCGGGCCAAUACCCCGCAUCAAUGACGGUACCUGAAGAAGAAGCACCGGCUAACUACGU